RNAcentral lists this microRNA precursor (96 nucleotides) under Nicotiana sylvestris (wood tobacco). RNAcentral's name for it is "MIR6152 microRNA precursor family". It matches the Rfam family "MIR6152 microRNA precursor family". Lineage: Eukaryota; Viridiplantae; Streptophyta; Magnoliopsida; Solanales; Solanaceae. RNAcentral also lists the same sequence under 1 other name. The record is from Rfam by way of RNAcentral.
UGGACAGAUUACUGUGUUCGAUUGUAUUCACGACGUGAAACAGGGGAUUAUACUAUUUUUAAACGGAAAGUGUAUCAAUUAACAUAAUAGACUACU